CCUACGUGCGGCAGCAGUGAGGAAUAUUGGUCAAUGGGCGCGAGCCUGAACCAGCCAAGUAGCGUGAAGGAUGACUGCCCUACGGGUUGUAAACUUCUUUUAUAAAGGAAUAAAGUGAGGCACGUGUGCCUUUAUGUAUGUAUUUUAUGAAUAAGGAUCGGCUAACUCCGUGCCAGCAGCCGCGGUAAUACGGAGGAUACGAGCGUUAUCCGGAUUUAUUGGGUUUAAAGGGCGCGUAGAUGGGUUGUUAAGUCAGUUGUGAAAGUUUGCGGCUCAACCGUAAAAUUGCAAUUGAUACUGGCAGCCUUGAGUACAGGUGAGGUAGGCGGAAUUCGUGGUGUAGCGGUGAAAUGCUUAGAUAUCACGAAGAACUCCGAUUGCGAAGGCAGCCUACUAGACUGCCACUGACAUUGAGGCUCGAAAGUGUGGGUAGCAAACAGGAUUAGAUACCCUAGUAGUC
Molecule: ribosomal RNA, 460 nt
Filed under: uncultured bacterium
Lineage: Bacteria
Description: partial 16S ribosomal RNA
Rfam family: Bacterial small subunit ribosomal RNA
Source: RNAcentral